CAGCAGCCGCGGGAAAACGAAGGGUGCAAGCGUUACUCGGAAUUACUGGGCGUAAAGCGUGCGUAGGUGGUGGUUUAAGUCCGUUGUGAAAGCUCUGGGCUCAACCUGGGAAUUGCAGUGGAUACUGGGUCACUAGAGUGUGGUAGAGGAUAGUGGAAUUUCCGGUGUAGCAGUGAAAUGCGUAGAGAUCGGAAGGAACAUCUGUGGCGAAGGCGACUAUCUGGGCCAACACUGACACUGAGGCACGAAAGCGUGGGGAGCAAACAGGAUUAGAUACCCGGGUAGUCCCUGUCUCUUAUAC
RNAcentral lists this ribosomal RNA (301 nucleotides) under uncultured bacterium. Its description in RNAcentral is "partial 16S ribosomal RNA". It matches the Rfam family "Bacterial small subunit ribosomal RNA", at positions 509 to 807 of the family's 1533-position model. The record is from RNAcentral.